UUGUUUAAAAAUUAUGGAUUCGUUGAAUUGGAAAAAAAAGAAUGAAUUAAAAAAAAAACAUAUCGAAACAAUCUUCCUCCAACACCAUUGAACACCCCUACAUCCCUCCUUAUCACACACCGUUACACCAUUACGCCACUGUUGACUACGACUGUCAACCAAAAAAUCCUAUACCAGGGAAGACGAAUCCCUUUAAAAGCCGCUGUCAUCGAGACGGACGGUCUCUAAUAGUGUGAUCGCCAUAGUGUAAAGUACAGGCAAGAAAAAGAAGUGACCUAGUUCGAUUGGAAGCUCGCCAAAUUCCGUCGGAGAAGCAAAGUGAAGUUUUGAGGUGAAGUCAAGCAAGCAGAAGAAGCCGGUUCAAGUGACGUUCCUGGCCCUGGUGAACCAUCAUCCCGGUUCCUUCGUCGGACUAUCGCCCCUCGUGCGUCGUAGUUGGGAAAACUAGUCGAUCGCCCACCCGCUGAGCCAGUGUGGAACGAAAGCGGAGACCAAGGGAUACGGUCCAGGCUUGAAGAAAACAUGAUGUUGCGCAGUGGAUCGUUCUCCGCCGCCCGCUAUUCCGGUCACCAAGCAGCCUACAUCGCAGAAGGACUCGACAUGCCGGCAAAUUUGUAAGGUGUGUAACGAUAACGUUUCCUUUAUCCUUCCAAAAAUCGCUAUGAAUUAAAAACCAUGAAUUGAAUCAUAA
Armigeres subalbatus is the source of this 691-nucleotide long non-coding RNA. RefSeq lists it as uncharacterized. The transcript has 2 exons. Lineage: Eukaryota; Metazoa; Arthropoda; Insecta; Diptera; Culicidae. The record is from RefSeq and is a predicted model, not a curated record.